AUAACCAAAGUGCUCUGUGGUUUGUCUUUAAUGGAGAGGACGGUUGUAAAGUAACACUGAAGCUCUUUUAGUCUCUUUUUAAUUUAUGUGCUCAUUGCAUCACAUGGGCAUGAUUAUUUGUGAGCUUGACUAUUAUUUAUUUUGUUUCUAACUUGAAAGAGAGUUUUUGUUCAAUUUUUUUAUCAUAUAUUACUAUUUUAUUCAGGUGUGGAGAUCAUUAUUGUAUAUGUCCUUUUAUUUUCUCUGUCAUAAUUAGAUGGAGAACGGUGACCUUCACAUGCAUAUUCUCUGAUGUCAGGGACGAAGUUAGGAUUCAAUCUUAAGGGGGCCAAAAUAUAUUUAAAUAAAAAUUUUAAUAAUAAAUAAUAAACAAAAUUUUUUCUAAUUAAAAAUUUUUUAUUAAAAAAUUAUUAAUUAAAUAAAUAAUGUAAAAGUAUGAACUUUAUGUUUUUUAUUUUCAUAUGUUUAACUUCUAACUAUUUUUUUUAUAUUAUUACAUUAAAAUAACUUAGAAAUUUUACUAAAUCUAACAGUAAUUUCUUAGUUUUUUAGUAAAUAAAAUUAACAUAGCUAUAAAAUUUAGUGCAAUUAUUGAUUUAGUCAAAUAAAAGAGCUCACCUAAGAUAAAUAAAAAUUUUAAAAAAUUAUUAAAUGAAAUUUUUAGAGUAGAAAAAUAUAUCAUAAAAUACUCUAUAAGCAAGAAGCUUUUAAUAUAUUUUCAUCCAUAAAAAGAGUAUACCGAUCAGGAGAAAGAGAGAGAGAGUUAUAUUGGUACCAUAAUAUUAAGUAAAUAUUGAAAAGUUAGGGGGGUCAAAACUAUCCAUGUUCCAAAAAAAAAAAUUUGAAGGACCAUUAAACAAAUAUUGAAAAGUUGAGGAGGACCAUGGCCACCUUGGGCCUCCGUAUAGCUCCGUCACUGUCUAACGCAUCCUCUCUAGACCUUUUUAAUAUGUAAUCAAACUCAACAGCGGCAUGAAAAAUAACAAUUUUUUAGAACAUUACUUUUGGUACUUAACAAUGGUUAAAAGUAUUCUAAAAUAGUUUACCAUGCAUGCAUCAGUAAAAUAUAUUAUGAUAUUUUAAAGUAUUAAAAAAUUAAAAAUAAUAGUAUUCUUUAAUAAAUUGAUUUGAUAUAAUAGAUGGUUUAUAUUACGAUACUUUUUGAAGCGUCGGUAUUUACUAUAUAAUAGAGACGCAUAGAAAUUCUUUUCCUAAGCACCAAUUAAAAAAAUAAGGGAAAACUUCAAAAAACCCCUCCGUGGUUUCACACUUUUUCAUUUUAAUACCCUGUGGUUUAAUGUGUAUCAAGUUAGUACCCUGUGGUUUCUCACUUUAUCACUUUAGUACCCUGUGGUUUAAAGUGUAUCAAGUUAGUACCCUGUGGUUUUGCACUUUAUCACUUUAGUACCCUGUGGUUUCACACUUUAUCACUUUAGUACCCUAUAGUUUAAAAAACCACAAGGUACUAAUUUGAUACAAAAUCAAAACCACAAUGUACUAAAGUGAUAAAAUGCAAAACCACAGAGUACUAACUUGAUACACUUUAAACCAUAGGGUACUAAAGUGAUAAAGUGAGAAACCACAAGGUACUAACUUGAUACAUUUUAAACCACAGGGUACUAAAGUGAAAAAAAAUUGAAACCACAAGGGGGGUUUUUGAAGUUUUUCCAAAAAAUAAACAAUACAAGCACACAUGGUUCUCAGAUUUUCAAAUUACUACAAAUAUACUAAUUAAAUCACUUGAUUUAUUACUUGAUUUACUAAAACAUAUGCUAAGAUCACGUGAUUUCGCUUGAUUUGCUAAAAUUAAUCACAUAGUCUUUAGCAUCUAGAGUGAUCUACUGCUUGCUAUAUAUAUAUAUAUAUAUAUAUAUAUAUAUAUAUAUAUAUGUUCUAAAAUCUUUUACUUUAUAUAUUAUAAUUUGGUACAUUAAUGUACGUAGCAGAUCAUCAAAACACUAACUAAACAACCAUUAUUUGACUAGUGAAAGUUAAAGUAUAGCUUUACCAAAUAAAAAUAAGAUAAUGUAAAUUUCAAAAAGCAUGAGGUUGGCCUGUUAAUUUCCAUGUUCAAAGUUGAGCUCACAGAUGCUUUAAUGUAAGUGAUGCAAUGGAAAUUAAAUAUAUUUCAGUAGAAGCCAGAAACCCUAUGCAUUCUUGGAUAAUGGGUUGCGUGGAUUAUAAUCCUUUUUAAGUUGUAAACUUUAGUAUUUCUUAUAUCUAUUUUUGAUACAUAUAAAUUGGAAUAUAUAUAUAUAUAUAUAUAUAUAUAUAAUAUUGAAGGCUGACUGAUGCUUCUGGAAGCAUGAAACCUUCCGUGCUUUCAAGGUCGUUUCGAUGUGUUCGACUUUUCGAAUCGUCGAUUCGCUGUCCGUUAAAUUUGAUCCCAGAGUAUUAAGUACUUAGAAAAUAAAUUUAUGAUUUUCAAUAUUAUUCCUAUGACGAAGGGCUCAAAAUCAAUAAUUUUAAUAGGCCUGUAUGAGCCGUUUGCAAGUUUAACGGUGUAGAAAUAUCCAAAUCACGUGAAAUUUUGAUAAAAAGUUCUUUAUACUAUAUAAAAUAAGAUCAAUAUUUUUUAUCUAAAAUUUUAAUGUCAUAUUAUCACGUUUUGUAAGAUUUUUAUUUUCAGCCAUUGAUUUUGAGCCCCUUCGUUCAUUAGGCAAAUGAUAUCGAAAAAUUAUAAAAUUUAUUUUCUAGGUACUUUAAAUACUCUAGAUCAAGUUUAACGGAGCCGAUCAACGAUUCAAAAGUCGCAACAUCGAAAACAAUCUGGAAGCACGGAAGGCUCCGUACUUUCAGAAACAUAGUAGCCUCACUCGAUAUAUAUAUAUAGAACUAGGCUGGAAUACUAUCAAUAGUACAAAACUAUUGGUGCUAUAAGAUUUUCAGCCAUUGGAUGAAAAAAUAUACGAUUAAAAUGAUGUGGGCCUCUUAGAGUUGAAUGAGUUAUUGAUUUAAUAGUAUAAUAUAAUGGGUAAUAUAUAUUCUGUGUAGACCAAGUGUAGACGUCGGAAAAGUAUUGCACGUGAUAAAUGGCUCAGUACACACGGCUGACUUACAUGGAUAAAUCAGAGAGCGACACGUGAUGCACCAGGGGCCGAGAACAAAGCGCUUAGAUGCGAGCAAAAUUUGGGUGGAAACGGUUAAGAAAUAGAGAAGAAAUUUCAUAGUUAGCAAGCUACUCGCCUGAGUGCAUCCCUAAAAACAGGGGACGUGGUUGAAUUACCGUCUACGAUGCCAAAUAUCCAUUAACCCCAGAUAGAAAACAUAUCACUAAAAAUAAAAAAAAAUAAAAAAAAAAGGCACCUGUAAUAAGGAUCCUUCAUGCAAAUAAAAGACUACAGUAUUUUCAAACUCCUUUCAAUUCCAGCAAUUACUCUUUUGUAGAAAUAGCCUGGAGCAGUGGAGCCUUCUUUUACUAUUAUUUAAUAGCUUUUCAGGAGUAACCUGAAUUAACUAGCAAAUUAGUGUAAUCCUUAUAAGUACUUUCAACGAGUGAACACAAUCAGUUCGACGUGAAUACAAUCAGUUCGACUCUUUCAACUGAGUCUGUCUUUUUGGCUCAUUCUACGAGUAGAGAGUGAGAGAACCCGGUUGAACCGAUCCCUCAACCUGAUCGCUUAGUUUCGAAGCACACUCGAGGGUCUAUCUAGAACCGAUCCAACUAUCACUGGCAUGUUUGAUCUAGUCAAAGGUUUGACUCGAUCAACAGUUCAUGACUUUGAUUCGCAUGGCAACACCAAGUGUGCCAUGAUAUUAGUUAUUAAUUAUUUACUCUUCGAUUUGAUCUAUUUGUACUUUUAAGGACUCAUUUGAUACUGAGACUAUCUAAUGGCUAUAUGUUAUUCUUACACACUAUUGAGUGCUUUUUUUGUUUUUCAACAUGGAUGCUCAAGUCAUAUCUUAAUCGAUGUAAUGUAAUUUACAUUAGCAUGCUAUCAUUUAUAAAACGAAACGGCAUAUUUUCAUAUUGCCUUUUUUAACCUGAAUAACAUAUUUUUUCUGUAAUUUCAAAUAAAGUUUAAGAUAAAAUCCAAACUAAUCGGUGAUUAGGUCGCAGUCGAAUCACCGCUGUCAAUAGGAAUGCUGUAGAGUACACUUGAAAAUAAACAAUUUAAUUGAUAAUUUGCAGAAAAUAUUGUAAAUUUUUGUACACAUGAUCCUUCAUGUCCAUUGGAGCAAAUUAAUGUGUCCCCAGACAUAUAAACUUGAGUGUAAAAACCCCUCUCAAAUGGUCAACACAAAGAUGACUAAUGAUUUAAUUCAAAAAGGUUCAUACAUACUCAGGACUAUGUUCUCUGCACCCUGCACCCCUUUUUCAAAAGGAGAUUUAACAUUUGGGUUUAUAGUACUUAUCAACCAAGAUAGUUGAUCUCAUCAAUUGCAUUAUUGUUGCUUCAAAAAGAACAAGAAAGAGAGAUUGCUAGUGGGUUGAUGAGUUAGGUGGCUGAUUUUGAUGGCCACCAAUUCCUCCAUAAAACAAUUGGUAGAGAGAAAAUAAAAAAUUCCAUUCCUUAGUCUUUGCAUUAAAAAGUCUAAAAUAUGACAGUCAUUUGCCUGAUGUGUUAUCUCUAAUCAAUUACAUUUGGUUCGUGGAAUUCAUUGGCUCAAAAUAGCUGAUAUGAUGUAGCUGUGACAUAGUAGACUUCUGACUCAGCAUCACAAUAUGACAGUAAAAAAAGAGUCAAUCUAAAAAAUAUGAAAAAAAAAAAAUAAUGGAAUGUAUUAGAUCUCCUAGUUAAUUGAGCCUGAUGAAAAUUUGUCCUAUUUCAUGAACUCAGGGAAAUGCCUAAUUAGGUCUUCCAAAAUAUUAUUUUUAUUAACAUUUUGAUGCAUUAACAAAGACUUAUGAUAUCUAUUUAACUGCGAGUGUGAGUGAUUUUGUAAUUUCAGCACUGUCGACGAAAUUCAACCAAAUAAAAUAUAUACGGUUAUAACUAUUACAUUUUCAACUGCACAUACGGCCAACUACUCAUUCAGCCAAAAAAUCAACUAUAAAUUAAAAAUAUACUUUUUAAACUUUCAAAAGUUUUAGUUAAUUUUUAUUCUAGUGAUUUUUUAACAAAUUUUUAGGGGUUUUUUUAGUAUGGAAUAAAUUUUUAAAACUCAGUAAUAUGAUUUUGAAAGUUUUAAAUUAGAAUAUGAUAUACCCAUAUACUUGAGAAAUUUUUAAAAUUCUGUAAUUUCAUUUGAACUAGACUUAAUAUUUUUUUUUUCAAUAUAAAUUAGGACAAAGCUUAUAUAGGAAAAAAAAAUUUAUUUCAUUUAAUACAAAUUUUAUUUUAAACCUGCGGCUCUUUUUUUUUUCCUCUUCCUCUUAUUCUUUCUCAAUGGUAUUUGUAUUUUUUUUCUUUGAAAAGAAACAACAUUUCAUAAUUGCAGUCGACCAAACAGAAUCCAUCGGACUCCAACAUAAGUCAAAUAAGAUCUAGUAAGACGACUUAAUCCAUCAAAACGAAAUUAAGGAUCCAGGAGUUCAUGAAAAAAGUCUAAAUCAAUAAUUAGGCGGGAGGUUGCAUUCAAAUAAAGCAUUCAUGUAUCUAUCAUUUUGUCACUCAUCUCCCUUUCCCCUUUCACUUUCAUAGAAGACAUUUUGUAGAACUCUUGCUUUGAGAGGGUUCUACAAUGUGGUUUGAUCCACACGGCAAUAGUACUAAUUUGAUUUAGUCAAAUAUUUGGUUGAAAAAUAAGUCAGGAAUUAAUAAUGGUAAAAAUUCUCAGUAUUCUUUCGUACUUGAAUAGUACAGGUUCUUAAAUAUUACUUUCGCAUUCUGUGUUACAAAUUCUUUGUUAGAAUAUUAUUCCAGUGUCAAAAACUUAAACCGAUUUAUAUUCUUUUGACCAGAAGUUUGAUUUAUAUCCAAUAUAAAACUAAUAUUUUCGAUUAUUUGGAUACCAUGUAACUUGCUUUUAAAAGACUAUAUAUUCCACGCCACUCGUUCUAUAGCCAUUUACAUAUAUAGUUCAUUAAUUUUUCAUUAAAUAGAAAUAUAGUCGUUGUUGAAUAUAAAGAUAAAAAUAUUAUUCUCUAACUGGUCACGUUUUUUUUGAAGAAAUCGAUCUUUUAUAUUAUUUAGAAUUAUGCGAUCAGGUUUCAUUACUUUGCACCAUUUAUAGAAAAGAAUUAAUAAGCUUUUGGAAGGGGAAGCUUUUAUUGUUCAGCAGGAGGUUUAAUAAGUGCAGCAAUUUCGUCAAUCCCUCUCUUACCUUAUGUUUUAGUUUUUAUUAUCUUCUUCUAUAAUAAAACCUGUUAAUAGCACCCAUAAAACUUUCUUAUAGACGGGAAAACGAAAUGUUUGUUUCACGUUUCAUUUCUAAAAAAAAUGAACGAAAAUUCUAUCAUUCUCUCUCAAAAAAAAAAAAAGAAAAAGAAAAAAAAAAGACAUAACUAGAAAAACUAUUGGGGUACCUUGUCUAAUACGUGAAAGCAACCUCACAAUUUCACAAACGACCCAGACUAAUUUGAGCUACGGAUCUUACUCUGGAAACAGAAAUACCCACAUUACUAGCAGGUCGGAUUUCAGCAUUGAAUAGAUCGGUGGAUAGUAAACCAACGGCAAUGGACUUCAAAUAAGGCGCUCGCUAUUAAAUAGGGAUGUAAAGUGGGUGUGUCGGGCCGGCACGACCCACAUUAUCCGAACCAAAACCGGCCGGAGGCCGGUACGGCCCGACCCAGCCAGGCUCAAAAUUUGGACCCGGCCAUACCGGGCUGGAUCUCCCAGGCCCCUGGCCCAGCACAGCCCUCCGGCCCAGAAGGCACUCCACAUGCCAGGACGGGCCACGCUCCAGGCCCGUUAUUUAAAUUUUUUAAUUAUAUAAUUUUUUAAAAAAUUUUAAAAAAAUUUAAAAAUAUGAAAAGAUCGAAAUGCUUCUCUUAAAACUACUUUGAUUAGCUAUAUAAUAAAAUAAAUUAAAUUUUUAAAAGAAUUUAGUAAAACUUUAAAAUUUAAACCAAGUUUGGUCUUACUUACAAUGUGUUUUGGAGCCCCGGGCUAUGCCGGGCAGCAGGCUGUUCGCGUAAGAGGAGAGGCUCAGCACAGCCUGAAAUACCGGCGGCCUGAGCCGGGCUUGGCCGGCACGGAUGCUACAGCACUCCUGCCGUGCUACAAGGAUAGGCGGCCUACGUUGCGGCCCCGCCCCGCCCGUUUUAUAUCCCUACUGUUAAAUCACUGUACUCAUUCCCUUCUGAUGGUGGGAUAGUGGUUAUAUAUAUAGAAUUCAAAAGUUCCCACACCAACACUCAUUUUUAUGUAGCUCGCCUCUAAUGUGAAGAUUUUUACAAUUGAAAAUUUAAUUAAACAAGGCUGGCCCUAACCUCCUCAUUGUCCACUAUGCACCUUAGAACCAGAGACGAUGAUCUUCUUUUUCUAAUCUAGUUUAUUCACAUCGCAAAGAGUUUGAUGGUUGGUACCUGAAGUCCCAAGUUCGAAUCUAGUUUAUUCACAUUUCAAACUACAAACACACCCGUGUAUAUAUGCAUAUAAAACACAUUUUCAUUAGAUAACUUUUUUCUUUUUCUUUUUAUACAUGAGACAUUGUAACCAACAGAAUACAACUUGUUUUAUAGCGGCGGAAAACGAUGUGAGAACAAGAUACAAGUCUAAUGUCUUGAUAAACUUUUAACACAAACAUUUAGUGUCUCAACAGAUCAACCAAACAAGAUUAGUAAAGUCGAGCGUCAUGAUUAACCUAAACUAUAGUUAACUAGAGAUGCAUUCAAAAGUCUUCAGUAUAGUUCCUACUCCGCCUUCGCAUCGGCAUCCGGAGCUCUUCCGCUCUCUAACCUGUUCAAGACUCGCAAGACUGAGAAAACGAACGAAUAAGAAUGUUCUCGACAGGCAGAAGAAGACAACAAUACAAGACUCACCGUUGCAAAUGCUGAACGAAAAUAUGGCCUUGUGGAUCAUUAGCUAUCAUGUUUAUAUUUACGAGCUUUUCUCCUCUCCCCAUGCAGCUUUGCAAAUGAUCGAUGUCCGCUGGUGAAGAUGCUUGCGCAGCAAAGUGACGAGAGGUAGCAGCAACUCUUUUGGGCUUCAUCUCAUCUUCUUUCGCAAUUAUAAUAAGAUCAGGAAUGCGAUAUAAAACUAAACCAUGUAAAACAAGAAAACAAUCUACCUUGAAGGCUCGCUGCGACUCGCCCAGAAGCUAAUUGAUGCUUCGGCAAUAUGUCCUCUGUGAAGAGCGCCUUCAAAAAGCACAACCAAGUAGGAAAAUAUCAAAUUUCAAAAAUUACAAAUUGUUGGCAAUGUCUCCUAGUUGUAUCCAUGCUGGUUGCACCCAAUUAUCAUGAAUAAAUUUGAAUAGUCGGAACAAGUGAGUGUAAAACAACAAUUUGUCUCCAAAAACUUUGGGCUGCUGGAGAGUGCUGCUUUAGUAGAGUAUACUUAUAAUCAACACUCCUCAUAUCUGGCACUCGAGAUGUUUUGAAAGACCCAAUAUAUGGACUUGAAUUAUAUUGCAGAAUUUGAAGGACAGGAAGCCGAAAAGAUUUGAACUCAGGACCUGCUAUAAUAUCACAUGAAACAACUGCUUGCCUCUAAAAGCUUACACUGCUUGAGAAUGUCGCUUUACAUAUUUUAUUUUACGUUUGAAAAUGAGUCAUUACAAAAGAUUACCUCAGCAGUAACAGAAGGCAACUGGAAUGGUCCAAUUUGGGAUUGUGACGACUCGAUUUGGAAUGAGCAUUCCGGAAUGGUUAUACUCGUCGCACUGGUUAAGAGAGCAGGUUGAUUGGAGGGUGCACAGUGAUUCAAUUGAUCGAGAGAAUGGUGAGCAGCUGAAUCCUGGUUCAAGGAAAGUAUGCCCAUUCCUAUGCUCAUUCCUGUGCUAUUGUCAGCGACAAGGCCCAUACACAUCUCAGAAGCUUGCAGAGGUGGUAGAACUCCGGAUAAGUACAUUGGGUGCAGAUGUAAACUGUUUCUCAUUGUCAACAUCUGCGAAGGAGAUCAAUUAUUUGAGUACAAUCAUUAAUUUUUUAUUUAGAAUAGAGCUUAAUAUGAGAGGAAAUAGCAGAGGGACAUGAGUUAAAUAUUACAACAUCAAAAACUUGGUUAGACAAAAAAGUUAAAUGUUUAACAUCUUCUGUUUACAGGAGAAAACACACGAUGCUGGAAAAACACGCAAUUCUUCUACCUUCUUAUGUAACACUGCAUACUAAUGUGACUAAAAUAUUCUUUAAUGAAGACCCUCACGAUUAAUUAGGGUUUGACUUCUUGUUCCCUGCGAGUAGAUUUCCAUCUAAAUGCAGCUACUUGCUCCAGUUCACUGCUAAUCAUAGUCGAGAGAACUUACAUAUACAUGGGGUUAGGGGAAAGCACCAAACUCCCAUUCUGAUGGGAAAGGGGAAAGGGAAUGUAAAGGAAACAAUCAAAUCAUGGCAAGCAUUUCGAAGGAUCAAUUAGAAGCAUGGCUAGAAUCAAAAUAGCAGCUAAGCGAUUCCUAGAAUUGUUGUUGAUCGAUUUCUUGAAGUCAGGAUUUCAGGAUUUCAUACAAAGUGCUAACUAAAGAUCAGUGUGGAGAAGUCGGAGUUUCAGGUGUUUCAGACAAGCGGAUGUCACGCAUCUGUAAUCAUAUUUCUUUUUUUGUUUAGUAAAACCUUUGACUAUUUUUUCUUUUUCUUUUUUUUUUCUGAGUAAAACCUCAAACUAUAAUUUUCUCGAGCCAGAACUCUCGAGGUAGAUAAAUUUCUAUAGGACAACAAAGAUCUCACGGAGUAUAUAUUGAGAAGGCAAGAUAUGGGUCUGUUUAGUCAAUUUGCGAAUCAAAAUCAUGCACAAGAGUUAACAACUGAGAUGGCUGUGUAUGUGUUCGCUAGAAUCAUGUGAAAAGGGGGGGGGGGGGGNNNNNNNNNGGGGGAGGGGGGGGUGGUGGAACCCUAAAAAUGCACUCCCCAGCUAUAGCACGAAAGGCGCCCCCAAACCUGUUUAUGAAAUGUCAAGGAAUGAAGCACCAUGAUAGUCCAUAAGCUAUUACAAGUGAAUGUCAGAAGAUAGCAAGGCCAUGUUAACAGUAACAACAGACAUACCACUGUUGAUCAUUAACAACAAUUUUGCCACAUUGAGCUUGUACAUAUGGUCAGUCUUGCAGGUAUGAUAUAGACGGGCCAAUCUUUUAAUAAUUUGUCACAGCCAAGACGAUUUGUUGCAUUGCUGACUAUUAUUGAUCUUAUUACUCUGUCUGUACAUUAGUUGUAAGCUAUUAAGACAGAAGCUUUUAGCGUUUUAAGGGUUCAUUAGCAUAGAAGUUGUCACAAAUAUAGUAGUUCAUUAAUGAACUCAUGUAAGACGAAUUUGAGUAUCUCGAUAAGAGGCGGAUUUUGGAACUGUGAAACUGCUAAGACCCAAAGGUCGUUUGAUGCAAGUCAAGAUUCAAAAGAAAAAUAGUUAAGAUGUUCACAAACUUCUAUGAGCAGUUGGUAGCAAAGUUUGUAGUAAAAAAGAUGUAAGCCUAUACGAUAUUUUCAACAAUAGUGUAGCAUAUUUCCAUCUCUAUGCUAAUUUCUACAUUGAUUAGUAGGCGUAAUGUGAGCUUGAAGAGUAAAUUUAUAAAUAUUCCCAAGAGAAGCAUAAAUUCAAGGGAAACAAGGUCAUAUUUUGCCUACUAUUACAUCUUUCACAGUGUGCCGCAACAACCAAGUUAACAGAUUUAAAUGAUUCUAUCCUGUAGCUUAACGUAACAUUAAGCUAUGACCAAGAAAAGAAGGACGAGCAUACAGAUUAGUAAUGUUCCUUCUGUCAAUGUAGUAAGAGGAAAGAAUACUUACACCUUACUACAGCACCCUACAUAUUAGUGGCAGGGGAACUGUCUGAUGCUGUACUUCUAGAUGUUACCAUAUGAUAUCUUCAGCCAUUUUGAUGAUUUCUUCAUAUAUACUACUCUAAGCACAUGCUUAAAUGGAAGUUAUGGUAAAAUAUGGAACUUUCAGGUAACUUGUUACGGACGUGAUUAAAGAUUCUUACUUCAACUGGAAUACACAAUUGUCCGUCUUAGAAAACUAUUAUUUCUCAAUUAUAUUUCCCAUCAUCUUUCAUUCCAGCAUAACAGUCAGGUAGAUAGGACUAGCUGAACACAAGCAUUGACUCGUAGCUGCAAAACCAUAUAGCAUUCCUGGCUUUGCAUCUUCCUUGAAAAUAUUUUCUUGAUAGGUUUACAAUAGCUUUGCUUCUUCCCUCUAUUUGACUAUUUCAUAGAUCGUAUUCUUACCAGAAAUUUGUACGGCUUAUCAGAGAGAUAUUAACAGCUAGACCUUGCCUAAUUUCACAUGAGAGUGCCCGUAAAAGCUCUUUAUAUGUAAGAGAGGUAAAGCUAAAUACAAUGAAUAGGUUUCCUUCUAAAGAAACCUCACGAAAGGACAUUCUAAUCAAAGGCUGUUCAGUUCAAGAUUUGUAAUUUUCUGGUGAAAUGUUGUGCAUUUUUAUAUUAGGAAUGACAAGUAUGUUACUAAAUUAUUGUAACGCUCCAAUAGUCCCACAUCGGAUGGGAUACUAAUUCUGAUCGGUUUAUAUGAGGUCUUGCAUGCUAGUAAUAAUAAUUAGGCUUAAGUAUUUUGGAUCGAUGGUUUGGCUCAACGAGUUAUUAUUGCUGACGGGUCGGGUCGUUACAAGUGGUAUUAGAGUCGAAUACCAGUAGGAAGUGUGAGAACUAAGUGCUAUGCGAGACAAAGUGCUACACCAACGAAUUUAGUGGGAGCCACCUCUUGAACCCAUAGGAACGACCUCUAGAAUCUCACAUCGUCUGGUAAUUCUGGUCCUGAUCUGUCUGUCUGUAAGGUAAUUCUGGUCCUGAUCUGUCUGUCUGUAAUAUGGUUUGGACCCGACGAGGACGUCAGGGUCUAAACAGGGGGAGUUUGUAACACCUCAAUAGUCCCGCAUUUGAUGGGAUACAGAUUCCGAUCAGUUUAUAUGAGGCCUACACGCUAGUAAUAAUAACUGGGCUUAAGCAUUUUAGACCGGUUGUUUGGACCCAACGAGUUAUUGUUGCUAGGGGGUCAGGUCGUUGUAAUAUUAUCAAAUAUAAAAUUAACAGUUCAAACGACAAAAAUUAGAUCAAAGCAAAUCAGAUUUUGAUAGUUUUAAUUCCAAUUAUCAAGAGAUAAAUAUUCAAAAAUAAUCAUAUAACUAUGCAUAAGAAGGCUAGAUGUGUCGACCGCGAACCAAGAAUGCCGAUAGAGAUCAAGGAACACAGCUACAGUGACAACGGCCACGGAUGACGGCAACAAUGAUGGUGAUGAAUGGCGUCGCGCGCGCAUACGGGAGAGGACGGAAGGCCGUACGAACGUGAGAGGAAUAGAGUUGGCGAGAGAGAGAAAGGAGGAAAAUGAGAGGUGGGUGGGUUAGAAUGCUACCACUAAUGGGAAUCAAAAUAGAAUUAGGUAUUAAGGAUUAAUUAGACACAAUAUACUGUCGAGUCCCUCAACGAUUAAAGUUUACGUAAAGGUCCACAAUUUAUAAAAAAAUAGAACAAAACAAAAGAGAUAAAGUGCAGAGGUGCCACGUUAUGGAGCCGGAACCUUUGCAGCUUAGAGAAGAUCUAUCUUAUGAUGAACAGUCGGUACGUAUUAUAUGUUGGCUUAAAUAGGCCAACAUCCUGCCCUGUGGCGAGAGGCCAUGUUGGGCCAAGUCAUAUUCGAAAUUGCGUGAGGCUAGGUUGGCCAAGUCAUGUUUGAAGUGGCAUAAGGCUGGGUGGGCCGAGUCACAAUUGAGACCCGUGGGCGCUGUAUCUGUAUGCUUUAAGUGAAUUGGUUGCGUAUUUCUAACAGCUCGAGCUUUUGGAAUUAAUGGUUAGCGCCAACGAUCCGACAAGUGGUAUCAGAGCCAGAGGUCACAGGUUCGAUUCCCAUAUGCUGCAAAUAUGUGCAGAUGCUGAAGGAGGAAUUGUUGGCUUAAAUAGGCCAGCAUCCUACCCUGUGGCGGGAUGUCAUGUUGGGCCGAGUCAUGUUUGAAGUGACGUGAGGCUAGGUAGGCCGAGUCACAAUUGAGACCCCUGGGCACUGUAUCUGUAUGCUUUAAGUGAAUUGGUUGCGUAUUUUUAACAGCUUGAGCUUUUGGGAUUAAUGGUUAGCGCCAACAAUCCGACAUUGUGGACCGAAAGGAGCAAGUUUUGAGAAGACGAACCAUUCCGUAUGUUAAAGUCCAGUGGAGCAACCAUUCUUAACAACAAGUUACUUACGAGCUCGAGGAGCAGAUAUAGGCGAAGUACCCUCAGCUUUUCGAGAACUAAGGUAUGUUAAGUUUAGAGGACUAAACUUCUUUCUAAAAGAGGAAGAUGCAACACCCCUACACUUUAUUCCUUUUGUUUUGUUCUAUUUUCUUAUAAAUUGUGGACCUUUUCGUAAACUCUAAUCGUUGAGGGACUCGGGAGCAUAUUGUGUCUAAUUAAUCCUUAAUCCUUAAUUUUGUUUUGAUUCCCAUUCGUAGCAGCACCCUAACCCACCUACCUCAUUUUCCCUCUUUCUCUCUCUCAUCGACUCUAUUCCCCUCAUGUUCGUACGGCCUUCUGUCCUCUCCCGCAUGCCCGCGCGACACCAUUCAUCACCAUCAUUGUUGCCGCCAUCCGUGGCCGUUGUCGCCUCAGCCGUGUUCCUUGAUCUCUAUCGGCAUUCUUGGUUCGCGGUCAAUGGCAUCUCGUCGUCGACAUUAUCGUCUUUGAGAAGGUUCCUUUCUUUCAAUUUUUUUUAUCCCUAUUAUAAUCUCGAGAAUAUCUAACUUUCUUAUCCAUGAUUAUAUGAUUAUUUUUUAAUAUUUAUCUCUUGAUAAAUGGAAUUAAAACUAUCAAAAUCUGAUUUGCUUUUGUUCUAAUCUUUGUCGUUUGAACUGUUAAUUUUAUAUCUUGUAUAUUGUAACGACCCGACCCGCCAGCAAUAAUAACUCGUUGGGCCAACCCACCGGCCCAAAAUACUUAAGCCCAGUUAUUAUUACUAGCAUGCAAGGCCUCAUAUAAACUGAUCAAAAUUAGUAUCCCAUCCGAUGUGGGACUACUGGGGCGUUACAAAUUCCCCCUGUUAAGACCCUGACGUCCUCGUUGGGUCCAAACCAGAUCACAGACAAACAGACCAGGACCAGAAUUAUCAAGCAAUGUGAGAUUCUAGAGGUGGCUCCUACGGGUUCAAGAGGUGGCUCCCACCAAAUCCGUUGGUGUAGCACUUUGUCCCGCAUAGCACUUAACUCUCACAUUUUCGGUUCGUAUUCGGCUCUGAUACCAAUUACAACGAUCCGACCUGCUAGCAACAAUAACUCAUUGGGCCCAAACAACCGGCCCAAAAUGCUUAAGCCCAGUUAUUAUAACUAGCGUGUAGGCCUCAUAUAAACUGAUCGAAAUCAGUAUCCCAUCCGAUGUAGGACUAUUGGGGCAUUACAAUUAUUAAGCCACUUAGGUGAGAGGUUAAGAACUAGUAUAUUCUUAUUAAUGGACAAAUAAUAAUUCCCAUAACGAGAAUACCUCCUAACACAUGGUAAUCUAGUAUUCCUACCCUCUGUUAGUUAAUUCGCGUUUAAUUCGCGAAUUAUUCGUGAAUUUUUUAAUAACCGAAUUAAACGCCCGUAUCAGUAUUUUUCAGAAAAAUUCGAAAAAAAUCACGUUUUUUUUAUCAAAAAUAAUUAUCCGCGAAUUAUUCGCAAUUCGCGAACGAUUCGCCUCAAAAAAAGGGCGGUGGCUGGACUCGCGGGUAGCGCCGUUGCCGCUCUCGUCGCCAACUCGUCCGUGUCGUCUUCGUCGUCCUCCUCUGCCGCUCUCGUCGCCGAACUCGCGAGUGUUUGAAUCUAUAUAAAAUCCUUCCGAAAAAGAAAUUUUGGUUGAAAAAUUCUUUUCCCCAUGUUUGGUCGUUCGAAAAAGGUUUUUGGGAGAACAAAAGGGAGUUCGGCAGAGGAAGACGAAGAGAAAAAGCACUUAGGGCCAGUCACGCACGGUCCACGAGGUCACUGUCUCGUGGACCGUUCCUUUUCAGCAUUUAGGAGUAUAGUUGCGCGCGGUCCACGAGGCGGCCUCGUGGACCGCUCCCUCACAUUAUACAUAUAUAUAUACAUAUAUAUAUACAUAUAUAUAUAUAUAUAAUAUAUAUAUUUUAUUUAUAAAUAUAUAUUUAUUUAUUAUAUAUAGUAUAUUAUUUUUAUAUAGAAAUUUAUUAAAAAUAUUUUAUUUAUAAGUAUAAUAUAGUUUGUUAUUUUUUUAAUAAUUAGUUUAAUUUUGUAUUUCUUAUUCUUAUAUUCUUAAUAAAUAUUUAGUAUUAUAAUAAUAGUAUAAAUUUGAAAGAAAAAUUUAAUUUUAUAGCCGAAUUUUUAAUUCCGAAUUUUUGAUUGGUGAACAUAUAAUAUCCGUAUAAAUCACGUAUCCGAAUAAUUAACGAAUCCUUUUUUUAGCCAUAUUUUUUAACGAAUUUAAACAUUAGAAGACGAAUUUUAACCGAAUUAUACCCGUACCGAAUUUUUGCCGAAUUCGAAUUAACUAACUAUGUUCCUACCAUCAGAAAUUAACAAUAAUUUCACUACUUCUAUAACACCUUUUACAACUAUCCAACUUGAAUUGAAUGGUAAUGAUUUGAAUAUUUUCAAUAAAGAAUACGAAGGAUUACUGGAAUAUUACAAACUGUGAACUAAACAGGCCCUCAAUGUAAAGGUCUAAUCAAAGGUAAUCAAUUCUUUCCAUCAUGAUUUGAAUCCUCCUUGGCAAUUGAGUAAAGACCCUCCGUAUGAAAAGCACUUGAAUCUUUCGAUGUACUACUUUCUAUGCUCCCCCUCAAACCUGGCUAGGGGCACGUCCACAGCCCAAGUUUGAGUUGUAAUUCUUGGAACAAAUCACACAACAAUGGUUUUGUAAAUAUGUUGGCCAACUGUUGCCUAGACGAAAUCCAUAGGGUAAAAAAUAAACCACGUAAAAGCUUCUCAAGAACAAAACUACAAUCAAUCUCGAUAUGCUGGGAGAAGGCGUUAAAACCUAUGUUGGUCAUCAUACAAUGGACAGUAAUGUCAUCACAGAAAAAAAAAAAUCGAUGAUUGUGAUUGAAUACCAAGAUCACAAAGAGUGAAUAGAGAAUUCAACAGACAAUAAAAUUGGGAUCCCUACUAUGUUCCUUAAUAGGCCCCAAAUGAAUUUCAAAAAAGUGAAAGAAGAGGAAGGGUGCACCAUAAAUUCCAAAAAAGUGAAACAAGAGGGAUAAUUCGGACAUCUACUAUGUUCCGUAACCGGCCCGAGAUGAAUUUCAGCUGUUGAAGCAGCCUGUUUUUGCACUGGUUUUUCAGGCAAACCAGUGACUUGAGUUUCACUCCCAAAAUAGGUUAAUAGAAACUGCCAAAAGAAUCCUAUCUGGAGAGUUGAUUAGUAUGCAGCAGCCUUGAACAGAUAGUUCCUCACAUAAAAAAUAAAAAUAAAAUAAAAAUAGAAAACAGAGGAGUUUCAUAACUGUGUAAUAUUUUCUUGGGUAUUACACAGUAAGAGCAGAAAAUCUAUACAUAAUUCCAUUUUCUAAUGGCAUGGGAAUUGCAUUGCAUGCUUUAUUACACAUUUCAACUGAAAAAGACUACCAGUAAAGACGAAGACAAGUCACAGAAGUUGCAUUGUACAGCUUGGUAUGGUCCAGGCUACCAAGUUUUCGUAGGAAAAAUCCCCAUUGAACUGUGGUCAAGUUAAAGCAUGUAAGAAAGAAUCGACAUUUUGUAACGACAAAUGGGUUUCACCUUAUUGAGCUAUGAUAUAUCGUACCUAUUAAGUUUGUUUCAACUUAUUCAACUAUAUUUCUAUUUUCACUGCCCCGAACUAGAAAUUUGAUGGGAUGAUUGAGUCUUACUAGCCAUCCCUAAUGAACAUGAAAAUGCCCAAAAAAAUUCUUCUCUAAGAACAAAAGGAUAACGGUCAGAUAGUACCACAAUCCGAAUGAAGACAAAACAUCUGAAUCAGAAAACCAGCGAAUCAUCCAAGUAAUCAUCCAUAAACAUACGAAGCAAUUAAUUCCCUAUGAAAUUAAUCAAGCAACGCUUUAUGCGAAUGAACAUACCUAAAAUAAUCUUCAACAAAGAAAUGUGGACUUUGGGAGCAGAAACUGACCUGCACUUGGAGCUGUAGCUGCUUGAGGUACUCGAUGGCUUCAUCAAGCAUCGACGCCUUAUCUGUCUACACCGACGCAUAAAAAUUACAGUAAAUAAAGGACUACCGAAUGAACCGGCAUAAUGACCCAAGUAGCUAGCCCACCAGUAAUCAGAACUCUGUCGAGCCUAAACCAUUGACCCAAAAUCCAUUAGCACAAAUCACCACUAAGACUAGUAACCCUUUUUUUUUUUUACCUUUUUCUAAUCAAAAUCUUUUAUUCAAAUCCGGCCAGAGGAUACAAAAGGAUGCUACUGUUAGUCUGUUUAGCUAACUUAUUGACAAAACUUUGUCCGAAGUGUCAGAAACUUGUAAUUAGGUUGUUGAUGCUGUAGAUAACAAACUUAAUAUCCCAACUAUUAGCAACUUUGUUGGGCCUAAAACCACCGACUUUAAGUAUGACCCACUUCGCUAACACUAAUAACUCACCGCCGGCCCAAAAUACUUAAUCAGGUGAUGCGAGAUUCUACAAAUGGCUCCUACGAGUUCAAGAGGUCCCACCAAACACGUGGUGUAGUACUUUAUCCCGUACAGCACGUAAGAUCAUUCUCAUACACAAUUCUCUUCCCAUCCGAUGCGGGACUAUUAGGGCAUUACAAAAACACACCUUGUUAGAGUUGGGUAUGAGAUUCUGCAAGGCCUUCAUCUUCUCAUUGAUCCGACUCCUCCUCCUCUGCUCCCAAGCGAAUCAACCGUUUUACAAGAAAACCAAAAAUAAAAUCAGUGUAGAUAAAAACACAACCUGCACUGCAGAAUGCAGAGGUGAAAGAUAACCCCAACCAACCUUCUCGGACAAAUUGUGAACCUCGGCAGCUCGGCUUCUCUUGCUCCCCGAACUCCGCGGCUGGAUCCGCCGCACGGGCUCCUCCGCCCCCUCCUGCAGCCCCCCAUAAUCAUUAACUUUACCAGAAAUUUACUAAUCACUACCUCAAAAAAAAAAAAAAAAAAAAAAAAAAAAAAAAAAAAAAAACAAGAAAUGAAUCAAUUCCCACCUCACUCUCGUCGAAAUCAUGGCCGCGGCUGCCCAGCUCGUCCGAGUCGCCGCCCGAGUACGGAUCGAGCGAAGAGAACGGCAUUUUCGCUCACACUCCAACUCCUCCUCAGAGGAUUUAUUUAGAAAGAAAUGAGAGAUCAAGAGAAAGAUGCAGCAGCUUUUCCUGGGAGGAGAAAGAAAAGAAAAUGUGAACUGGGUUUAGGACUCGGAAUCACAAUGCAUUUAUUAUUGUGUAGAGAGAGAGAGUAAUGUUUAUGAGCUAUUAUGGGUUUGUGUGUUGGGUUCGGGUUUCUUGCGUUUCAGGCUUUUUUUUUUUUUUUUUUUUUUUUGGGUUGCUGCUGCUUAUGUCUUUGGUUUUCUUUUCGACAUGUGAAUGCUUAUAAAUAAACAUUUGAAUAUAUUAUUAUAUUAUUGUUUCUGCAAAAGCGCAAAGUACAGAACAAAUAAUGGUCUUAUCUGUGUGACGCGGUUGCUCUGUUUUCUUUUUAGAAAAUUGGGAUUGUAGUGUCAUGCUUUGGGUUGCUCCAAAAGCUUUUGCCACGAAGAAAGUCUACUGUAUUACUGUAUCAUACUUAAAUCAUAUUAAUAAUAAAAGUAAUGCUUCUAUACUUUUUUUUUUUUUUCAUUACCGUUCAUUUACUCCCACUCAACGGUAUAGAUUUAAUAUUCUUAAAAUUGUGACCUGCGCACAAUAGCAGGUCAUUUUAGGAGUGGUACCGCUUACCAGGUACCUCAAAAAAGGGUAUUUUUAUUUUUUAAUAAUGAGAAAUUUAGUCAUUUUAUCUCUAUUAUAUUAUUAAAAUUUUUAUUCUCUCUUUAUUUCUUUUUUCUCUUUCUAUCUUUCCUCUCAUAUUUGGCAUUUCAUAUAAAAAAAUUUUCAAAUUAUUUGACAACAAGAACAUGAGAUUAUUUUGUGAACCAACUAUAGAUUUUUUUUCUAUAUUCAUCUUGAAUCCAACCCGAAUCAUAUAUAAAGUUUAAUAUUAUAUUCGAAUCUAUAUUUUAAAAAUUUAAAUUUAAUAUAAAAUAUUUUGAAAUAUGGUAAAAAGAAAUAAUUGUUUCGUGUUCCAGUCUUUCGGUUUGGAUUUGGUUUUGGGUUUCGAAAAAUUGGUUAGUUUUGGGUUUAGAUAUGGAUUUUUGAAAUCCAUCGAAUUCGGAAAUAGAUUUUGUAAUUGUUAAUCGGGUUCGAAUUCAAAUUUCUAAAUAUUGUUUUUGUCUGAAGUAAUCCUAAUCUUUUUAAUUUUUAUGUUUAAACUAAAUUUGUAAAUUACUAAACUAAAUUCGUAAAUUAAUGCCUAAUUAAUGCCUAAAUUAGGGUAAUCAAUCAAUUUCCUAAAUUAGUGCAAAUUAAUGUAUAAAUUUAGGAUAUUAAUUAAAAGUUUCUUUAAAUGUUGUAUAGUUUAAUUACCNAAAUUUUAAGUAUUUAAUUUUUAAAAUUUAAAUUCAUCGUAUUUAGAAAUAAAACUAUUUCUAAAAUUUCUAUAAUUUAAAUUAAUGCAUAAUUUGAGAAACACUAAAACAUUUAAAGUAGAUUCCUAAAUUAAUGCCUAAUAAUUGCAUAAAUUUGAUUAAUCAAUUAAUUUCCUAAAUUAGUGCAAAUUAAUGCAUAAAUUUAGGACCUCAAUUAAAAGUUUCUUUAAAUAUUGUAUUAUUUAAUUACCAAACUAACCUUAAAUAAAAUAAUUUUUUUACCUGCUAAGUAUUAAAGUUACAUUUUUACCCUCUAUUAAUCAACGGUUAAGAUCUUUUUUAUUUUUUUUUAAAAAAAGUACCGAAUCAUUUCUCUAAUAAUAAUAUAUUAAUUAUAAUAAAAAUAUUUUUAUAAUUAUGAUGUUAUAGAUUAAUCUAAAAAAAUUUAUUUGAUUGGUUGAGAACGUCAAUGUCACCAAUAUAGCUAGUGCAUUUUAAAAUUUUUCUUUGCCAUGAGAGUUUAUACAGUGGUAAAUUUUCAAGGCUGUGUUGUUUUUGUAAGUUGACUAAAACUUUGAUUGGAAUAUAUGAAUAAUUCUUAAUUUUUGUGUAUGAGUAAUUGUCUAUUUUGUUUUAUGUAAAGGAAAUAUGAUCUUAGAUACUGAUCGAUAAAUUUUUAACCAACUGUACUAUGUAUGGUUGGUGUUCCGCAACUGCAGUUAUUUUAAAGAAAAUAUUAUGUGUACAUUUUAUACAGUGAUGUAAAUUUUAUAAUACAUUAAAAGAUGGUUUGAAUUAGCAUCUGAGUGAACAAAUUUAUAACAAAAAAAACAAAAGUUCUACUUAAAAGAAAGCCAGUAAGUGAGAGUGUUGUAUGAGUUGAUUGGAACGAUAUAUUUUAAUUGAUACUUCUUAAUAUUUUAUUUUUUUUAAAUUAUUCUUUGCUGAUAUAUUAAUUUACCCUUUGCAAACUAGUUUGCAUGUAAAAAAUGCCUUUAAUUUUUUUUUGUUAGACUAUAAUAGAAAUCUAAUAAUAUGUUAGUAGGGAAAAUUGCAGUUCCCAAACUCUCAACAAGAUUUUUAAUUUGUUGGUCAUCAAAUUUUCAAUUUAAUGUUAGAGACCUAAACCUCUUUAAAAAAACUUUUUUAAAUUCCUAAAACCAUUAAGGUCGAACUAACCCAGUGCUACGCAUUUAUCAAUUAUUUAUUUUAUUACACACUUCAAUCAUUGUAUUUACUAAGUAACUAUGUUUUAUUACUAGAUACAAACAAUAAUUUUCUCUAAAAUAGAUAUUAAAAUACAAAUAUUUUAACCAAAUUUAAGUUAAAAAAUUAUAGUAAAUUAAAUUUAAUUGUGAAAUAGCAUGCCUUGUUGCCAGAUAUAUAUAAGGAUUAAAAAUGUAAGGGAAAACUUCAAAAACCUCUCCUGUGGUUUCGCACUUUCUCACUUUAGUAUCCUUUGGUUUAAAGUGUAUCAAUUUGCCCUCCUAUGGUUUCGUUUUUCUCUUUUUAGUAUCAAUUUUAUUAUUUUUUUCUCUUAAAAUCAGUGAUAAAGUUAAAAUUAAAGGUUACUAAAGUAAAUAUUCGAAAAAUCUAGGUGGGUAUCUGAAGUUUUUUGUAUAUAAUUUAACGAAAUAUUAAGAAAAAAAGCUGUCGAAAAGAUAAAUAAAACCACAGGGAGGCAAAUUGAUACACUUUAAACCACAGGAUACUAAAGUGAGAAAGUACAAAAUCGCAGGGGAGGGAUUUUUGAAGUUUUCCCAAAAUGUAAUUUAGCCGAGUAACUUUCCAAGAAACUUUUAUAGGGACCAAUGGUAAAAGUUUCUUUUCAUUUUUGGGUUGUCAAAUUUUUUUUUUGGGUUCAUUGCAUACAGGUCCCGUAAACAUAGUAAAUUAUAAAUAUAUUUCUACAAAAUUCAACUUUUAUAUAUUGUUUCUGUAAAAAUUUUAAUAUUUUCAAAUAUGUCCCUCUGUUUUGUUGCUGUUAUAGAACUAUUUAUAUUUUAAGUAAAAUAUCAAUUUUGCCAUUACAAAUAUGUCCUUUCAAAAGCCACAGCAGUAUAAUAUAAGAUGGACAAAAAUAUCAAGUUAUCUCAUGAACUAUUCAGGAUUAAGUAUUUAAUAUAGGAUUAACUAAAGUUUUCUAACGGAUUCUAACGGUAUGAACAUAUUUAAAAAUAUUAGGACUUUUACGAUGACAAUAUAUAAAAUUUGAACCAUAUAAAGAUAUAUUUGUAACUCACUAUAUUUAUAGAGAUAUGUAUAAAAUUAAUCUUUUUUUUUCCCUUUCUUUCUUUUUUUUUUUGGGAAAACUUCAAAAACCCCCUCUGUGGUUCCACACUUUUUUAUUUUAGUACCCUGUGGUUUAAAGUGUAUCAAGUUAGUACCCUGUGGUUUCUCACUUUAUCACUUUAGUACCCUAUGGUUUAAAGUGUAUCAAGUUAGUACCCUGUGGUUUCUCACUUUAUCACUUUAGUACCCUGUGGUUUAAAGUGUAUCAAGUUAGUACCCUGUGGUUUUGCACUUUAUCACUUUAGUACCCUGUGGUUUCACACUUUAUCACUUUAGUACCCUAUAGUUUAAAAAAUCACAGGGUACUAAUUUGAUACAAAAUCAAAACCACAGGGUACUAAAGUGAUAAAAUGCAAAACCACAGGGUACUAACUUGAUACACUUUAAACCACAGGGUACUAAAGUGAUAAAGUGAGAAACCAUAAUGUACUAACUUGAUACAUUUUAAAUUAUAGAGUACUAAAGUGAAAAAAAUUGAGACAAUGGGGUUUUUCAAGUUUUCCCUUUUUUUUUUUUAUUUAACUGGUUGCUUGUAUUUUGAGGUGAGUGGAGUUUUGUCAGUCAGGCGGUGUUGUUCUCGGGAAGCGUGCGAGUGAGGAGGAUGGAUGGCUUUAAUGAUUUUAAUAAAUGAGGCUGGGAGGUCGGGGCAGGACAGAGAGAGAAAAAGGAGGGAGAUUCGGUUUCAGUUGCAACGGAACAUUGACGCGAGAGGAGAAAGUCACUGCCUAGUGCCUACACCCGGUGCACCAUUAUUAAAAAGCUGUUUUGUUGCAUGUACGUAGUUACAACUGCAGUACAGUUGUAACUGCUUGCAAUUCCAAAUUCAGUGUUUGAUUUGGUGCGUUUGAGUCUAACCACUGCAGUUGGAGCUGCAUGCGAUUGCAACAGUUAGAACUAUGCUCAAAUUGACCGCAGUUGCAACUGCAGCAGUUCUAGAGAAUAACUUUAAAUAAAAAGUAAACUUACCUCCCGAAUAUUUUUUAAACAAAAAAUAAAUAUUUUUCUUUACAUUGGAGUUAGUAUCAUUGUCACAAAUAUAAAGUGAUAAAAUUUUUCUCAUGCACUUCUCAGCUACGUGUAACCAAACAAAUAAUUUAUAGUUGCAGCAUAUUGUACUACAUCCAACUAAAUGAAAUAUACAUAGUUGUAAUUAUUGUAUCUCCAAUUGUAUACAUUUUCAACUAAUUGUAUUUCUAAUUGCAUCCAAUCAAACGACCCUUAUGUUUGAUGAUCAAUUUUUGUCUAAAGUUUGGCUUUAGUUUAAGAUUAAAGUUUAUGUCUUUUUUUUUUUAAUAAAGGAAAGGUAGCAUGUUACCACUUCGUUAAUUUUUUUAGAAAUAAAUUUAGUUUAAAAUAUGAAACAACUAAAUGUCAGAUUCGGGAUCUCCUGAAUGAAUCAUCAUUAAGUCCUUCGUCACUUGCGGUAGGGACAAAAAAUAAAAAAAAAAUGAUAUUCAUGUUGACAUUAAAAAGGAAAAGACUAAAUUACACUUUUGGUCCUCAAACUGUAAGGCGGAUGACACUUUGAUCCCCAAGAUUUUAAUUAUUGUGUUUUCUCAAUUGAAUUUUUUGAAUUAAUGUAACCAAGUCACCCUAGCUGAUGGAAUCAUAAUUUAUCACUGAUAUAAUAGUGAUAUAACAUUUACUCAAAACUAUAUCAUCAAUACAUCAUCAUUCUAUCAUUCAAAUUAUAAUGUGAUACUUGAUUGCAGUACUCUAAAAUAUUUCGAGUCAAAAAUUACAAAAAAAAAAAAAAAUCAAACUUUCAGAAGUAUUCUGAAAAAUAUUAUCACGUGCCACAU
RNAcentral lists this long non-coding RNA (23571 nucleotides) under Ananas comosus (pineapple). RNAcentral's name for it is "long non-coding RNA (ACOM_LNC029600)". The record is from RNAcentral. Lineage: Eukaryota; Viridiplantae; Streptophyta; Magnoliopsida; Poales; Bromeliaceae.